This is a long non-coding RNA of Syngnathus typhle (broad-nosed pipefish), 1061 nucleotides long. RefSeq lists it as uncharacterized. The record is from RefSeq and is a predicted model, not a curated record. The transcript is spliced from 5 exons. NCBI's taxonomy places the organism in Eukaryota, Metazoa, Chordata, Actinopteri, Syngnathiformes, Syngnathidae.
AACAAAAGCACAGAGCUCCAGGGUGAAUCCGUCUGAGAGACGAGAGUGCUUCAUGCGGCCGGAGUCGGGAGAUCAAUAUUUACAGACACUCCUCUUCUUUAGACAGCAUUCAUGUCACAACGAACAAACAGGCCCUCCCUCCCUGCAAAGUGCAAAAGGCUCUAUAAAAAUGACCAUUCAAGGACGGCACAAAACCGAUGAACAAGACACCAACAAAAAUGAUGUGGCGGUGUGACGUUACGGCCUCCAGCUUGCUCCACUUUACACAAGAAAAGUCGGGGUCAUCCAGAGUGACGGCCCUGGGUCUCUGAGAUGGACGGACGGACGGGUGGGUGGGCCGAGGAGGCAGGAGCACACGGCUAUAGCAUGUUGAGGAUGGCGUUGUACAUCUGGACCAGCACGGCCAAGUGGACGGGGAGGCAAGACUGCCGGUCCUGGGUGGCAGGCGUGCAGCUCAUCGGACUGGACCAUGGAGAUGUGGUGGUGGAGCGAUGCCUGCGCACAAGCAAAGAGCGGCACAACAUCAGGCGUCUUGACUACACGGAGUUGUUAUCUCUUCUCGGUGUUGUCUCAAAAUCAGAACUUGUAAUUUUACACGUGUAUAAAUGUUAUGUUUUAUAUUUUACUUUGAAGGGCUGAGUUGCAUCGCGUAAUACAGCUGUUGCCUAGCCCAGCUCAGUGGCCUAGUGGUAGUGCGUCCGUCUUGAGACUGGAAGGUUGUGUGAUCAAACCCCGGUUGGGUCAUACCAAAGACUUUUAAUGUGUGUAAAAGAUGUUUUGGAUGAACAAACACUAAUUGUGAAACAAAUGACUGUAUGAAAACUGAAAAGUUAGAUUGCAUUGUAUUCAACAAAAAUUUGCAAUCAAGCAAACGUUUGCCUGACAGAAAUGCCUUAAAGUUAACUUUCCAGUAAAUAAGUGUAAUAAUGAAAUCUUAAAACUAUAUCAAGACAUCUAUCUAAGUAAUAUGUCCUCAUCCCAAAAUGGUAUGUUUUUUUUUUUUUUUAAAUUAUGUUCUUCAGCAAUAAAAUACAACUGUUAAUGUGAGGCCCCCUAGUGGU